UUCAGCUUGUUGGUUGGGGUAAUGGCCCACCAAGGCGACGACGGGUAGCCGGCCUGAGAGGGUGACCGGCCACACUGGGACUGAGACACGGCCCAGACUCCUACGGGAGGCAGCAGUGGGGAAUAUUGCACAAUGGGCGAAAGCCUGAUGCAGCGACGCCGCGUGAGGGAUGACGGCCUUCGGGUUGUAAACCUCUUUCAGCAGGGAAGAAGCGAAAGUGACGGUACCUGCAGAAGAAGCGCCGGCUAACUACGUGCCAGCAGCCGCGGUAAUACGUAAGACGCAAGCGUUAUCCGGAAUUAUUGGGCGUAAAGAGCUCGUAGGCGGUUUGUCGCGUCUGCUGUGAAAGCCCGGGGCUCAACCCCGGGUCUGCAGUGGGUACGGGCAGACUAGAGUGCAGUAGGGGAGACUGGAAUUCCUGGUGUAGCGGUGAAAUGCGCAGAUAUCAGGAGGAACACCGAUGGCGAAGGCAGGUCUCUGGGCUGUAACUGACGCUGAGGAGCGAAAGCAUGGGGAGCGAACAGGAUUAGAUACCCUGGUAGUCCAUGCCGUAAACGUUGGGCACUAGGUGUGGGGGACAUUCCAC
Molecule: ribosomal RNA, 586 nt
Filed under: Arthrobacter koreensis
Lineage: Bacteria; Bacillati; Actinomycetota; Actinomycetes; Micrococcales; Micrococcaceae
Description: bacterial SSU rRNA
Rfam family: Bacterial small subunit ribosomal RNA
Source: RNAcentral